RNAcentral lists this ribosomal RNA (244 nucleotides) under Salmonella enterica subsp. enterica. Its description in RNAcentral is "partial 16S ribosomal RNA". It matches the Rfam family "Bacterial small subunit ribosomal RNA", at positions 1 to 239 of the family's 1533-position model. RNAcentral also lists the same sequence under 1 other name. The record is from RNAcentral. Lineage: Bacteria; Pseudomonadati; Pseudomonadota; Gammaproteobacteria; Enterobacterales; Enterobacteriaceae.
UUAAAUUGAAGAGUUUGAUCAUGGCUCAGAUUGAACGCUGGCGGCAGGCCUAACACAUGCAAGUCGAACGGUAACAGGAAGCAGCUUGCUGCUUUGCUGACGAGUGGCGGACGGGUGAGUAAUGUCUGGGAAACUGCCUGAUGGAGGGGGAUAACUACUGGAAACGGUGGCUAAUACCGCAUAACGUCGCAAGACCAAAGAGGGGGACCUUCGGGCCUCUUGCCAUCAGAUGUGCCCAGAUGGG